GAAAAAAUUGGGAAUGACAGACAUGCCAGUUGUUGGAGUUAUGAAACCAGGAGCUGCUGGAUUGGCUGGAAUGGGAAUGAAGGCAUCAUCAGCAACUGCCAAGGAGGAGAAGAAGGCAGAAAAGACUGUUUACGAGUUGAAACUAGAGUCUUACGAAGCAUCUGCAAAGAUUAAAAUUAUCAAGGAGGUAAGAAGUUUCACUGAUUUAGGUCUGAAAGAGGCAAAGGAUUUAGUGGAGAAAACCCCAUCAGUGUUGAAGAAGGGACUAUCAAAGGAAGAGG
RNAcentral lists this unclassified non-coding RNA (281 nucleotides) under Hevea brasiliensis (rubber tree). Lineage: Eukaryota; Viridiplantae; Streptophyta; Magnoliopsida; Malpighiales; Euphorbiaceae. The record is from RNAcentral.